This 1063-nucleotide ribosomal RNA is filed under the name Bacillus sp. S25. RNAcentral's name for it is "bacterial SSU rRNA". It matches the Rfam family "Bacterial small subunit ribosomal RNA", at positions 53 to 1096 of the family's 1533-position model. The record is from RNAcentral. Lineage: Bacteria; Bacillati; Bacillota; Bacilli; Caryophanales; Bacillaceae.
ACAUGCAGUCGAGCGGACACAGAUGGGAGCUUGCUCCCUGAUGUUAGCGGCGGACGGGUGAGUAACACGUGGGUAACCUGCCUGUAAGACUGGGAUAACUCCGGGAAACCGGGGCUAAUACCGGAUGGUUGUCUGAACCGCAUGGUUCAGACAUAAAAGGUGGCUUCGGCUACCACUUACAGAUGGACCCGCGGCGCAUUAGCUAGUUGGUGAGGUAACGGCUCACCAAGGCGACGAUGCGUAGCCGACCUGAGAGGGUGAUCGGCCACACUGGGACUGAGACACGGCCCAGACUCCUACGGGAGGCAGCAGUAGGGAAUCUUCCGCAAUGGACGAAAGUCUGACGGAGCAACGCCGCGUGAGUGAUGAAGGUUUUCGGAUCGUAAAGCUCUGUUGUUAGGGAAGAACAAGUGCCGUUCAAAUAGGGCGGCACCUUGACGGUACCUAACCAGAAAGCCACGGCUAACUACGUGCCAGCAGCCGCGGUAAUACGUAGGUGGCAAGCGUUGUCCGGAAUUAUUGGGCGUAAAGGGCUCGCAGGCGGUUUCUUAAGUCUGAUGUGAAAGCCCCCGGCUCAACCGGGGAGGGUCAUUGGAAACUGGGGAACUUGAGUGCAGAAGAGGAGAGUGGAAUUCCACGUGUAGCGGUGAAAUGCGUAGAGAUGUGGAGGAACACCAGUGGCGAAGGCGACUCUCUGGUCUGUAACUGACGCUGAGGAGCGAAAGCGUGGGGAGCGAACAGGAUUAGAUACCCUGGUAGUCCACGCCGUAAACGAUGAGUGCUAAGUGUUAGGGGGUUUCCGCCCCUUAGUGCUGCAGCUAACGCAUUAAGCACUCCGCCUGGGGAGUACGGUCGCAAGACUGAAACUCAAAGGAAUUGACGGGGGCCCGCACAAGCGGUGGAGCAUGUGGUUUAAUUCGAAGCAACGCGAAGAACCUUACCAGGUCUUGACAUCCUCUGACAAUCCUAGAGAUAGGACGUCCCCUUCCGGGGCAGAAUGACAGGUGGUGCAUGGUUGCCKKCAGCUCYGGUCGUGAGAUGUUGGGUUAAGUCCCGCAACGAG